RNAcentral lists this small RNA (1518 nucleotides) under uncultured marine bacterium. RNAcentral's name for it is "bacterial SSU rRNA". The stretch from base 1 to 994 matches the Rfam family "Bacterial small subunit ribosomal RNA", at positions 528 to 1533 of the family's 1533-position model. The record is from RNAcentral.
AAGGGACCUAGCGUAGUUCGGAAUUACUGGGCUUAAAGAGUUCGUAGGUGGUUGAAAAAGUUGGUGGUGAAAUCCCAGAGCUUAACUCUGGAACUGCCAUCAAAACUUUUCAGCUAGAGUAUGAUAGAGGAAAGCAGAAUUUCUAGUGUAGAGGUGAAGUUCGUAGAUAUUAGAAAGAAUACCAAUUGCGAAGGCAGCUUUCUGGAUCAUUACUGACACUGAGGAACGAAAGCAUGGGUAGCGAAGAGGAUUAGAUACCCUCGUAGUCCAUGCCGUAAACGAUGUGUGUUAGACGUUGGAAAUUUAUUUUCAGUGUCGCAGGGAAACCGAUAAACACACCGCCUGGGGAGUACAACCGCAAGGUUAAAACUCAAAUGAAUUGACGGGGACCCGCACAAGUAGUGGAGCAUGUGGUUUAAUUCGAAGAUACGCGCAGAACCUUACCAACACUUGACAUGUUCGUCGCGACUCUAAGAGAUUAGAGUUUUCGGUUCGGCCGGACGAAACACAGGUGCUGCAUGGCUGUCGUCAGCUCGUGUCGUGAGAUGUUGGGUUAAGUCCCGCAACGAGCGCAACCCUCACUUUUAGUUGCCAUCAUUAAGUUGGGCACUCUGAAAGAACAGCCAGUGAUAAGCUGGAGGAAGGUGGGGAUGACGUCAAGUCCUCAUGGCCCUUACGUGUUGGGCUACACACGUGCUACAAUGGCAUCUACAACAGGAAGCAAAACGGCAACGUUAAGCAAAUCCCGAAAAGAUGCCUCAGUUCGGAUUGCACUCUGCAACUCGAGUGCAUGAAGCUGGAAUUACUAGUAAUCGUGGAUCAGCGUGCCACGGUGAAUGCGUUCCCGGGUCUUGUACACACCGCCCGUCACACCAUGGGAGUUGGUUCUACCUUAAGGCAAGGUUUUAAACCCUUGACCACGGUAUAGUCAGCGACUGGGGUGAAGUCGUAACAAGGUAGCCGUAGGGGAACCUGCGGCUGGAUUACCUCCUUUCUAAGGAUGAGUGAAAGUAAAAUUUCACUCUAAAUAAUAUACAUCGGUAAUGUUGACCGUCCUCAUUUCUCUUCUUAAAGUAAUGUUUCCUUCUUGUAGGGCCGGUAGCUCAGUUGGUUAGAGCACACCCUUGAUAAGGGUGGGGUCGAAAGUUCGAGUCUUUCUCGGCCCACCAAAAACCUAAAUGGGGGAUUAGCUCAUCUGGGAGGGCGCCUGAUUUGCAUUCAGGAGGUAGCAGGUUCGAUCCCUGUAUCCUCCACCAGGAAACAUUUAGUUAUUAAAACUGUAAAUAAAGAUAAUUUAUAUCAAUAUCUAUAUCCGAACAUUAAAAGUUAUUAUUUAAUGUUCAAAAUAAAAAUUUGAUCACAACAUAGAUAAAUUUUCUGUUAAAAGAAUUUUUUUCUGUGCAUAAAUCAAGCGUUUAAGGGCGUGUAGUGGAUGCCUUGGCACUGAAAGCCGAUGAAGGACGUGAUAUACUGCGAUAAGUUUCGGGGAGCUGUAUGUAAGCUUUGAUCCGAAAAUUU